RNAcentral lists this ribosomal RNA (235 nucleotides) under uncultured bacterium. RNAcentral's name for it is "partial 16S ribosomal RNA". It matches the Rfam family "Bacterial small subunit ribosomal RNA", at positions 122 to 354 of the family's 1533-position model. The record is from RNAcentral.
CGAACCUGCCGCAUGCAGGGGGAUACCGGCUGGAAACAGCCGCUAAUACCGCAUAUGCGCACGGCGCCGCAUGGCGCAGUGCGGAAAGGGAGCGAUCCCGGCAUGCGAUGGGUCCGCGUCCGAUUAGCUUGUUGGCGGGCAGCGGCCCACAAGGCGACGAUCGGUAGCCGGCCUGAGAGGGCGGACGGCCACAUUGGGACUGAGACACGGCCCAGACUCCUACGGAAGGCAGCAG